AUUGAACGCUGGCGGCAGGCCUAACACAUGCAAGUCGAGCGAGCGGCGGAAGGGUGAGUAAUGUAUGGGGACUGCCCGAUAGAGGGGGCUAACUACUGGAAACGGUGGCUAAUACCGCAUACUAUCGGAUAACCCAUAUGGGAUUGGCUAGUAGGUGGGGUAAAGGCUCACCUAGGCGACGCUCUCUAGCUGGUCUGAGAGGAUGAUCGGCCAGACGGGGACUGAGACACGGCCCAGACUCCUACGGAGGAAGCAGUGGGGAAUAUUGCACAAGGGGCGCAAGCGUGAUGCAGCCAUGCCGCGUGUAUGAAGAAGGCCUUAGGGUUGUAAAGUACUUUCAGCGGGGAGGCGUUACCCGAAGAAGAAGCACCGGCUAACUCCGUGCCAGCAGCCGCGGUAAUUC
Molecule: ribosomal RNA, 403 nt
Filed under: uncultured bacterium
Lineage: Bacteria
Description: partial 16S ribosomal RNA
Rfam family: Bacterial small subunit ribosomal RNA
Source: RNAcentral